Megalobrama amblycephala (Wuchang bream) is the source of this 1349-nucleotide long non-coding RNA. RefSeq lists it as uncharacterized. Lineage: Eukaryota; Metazoa; Chordata; Actinopteri; Cypriniformes; Xenocyprididae. The record is from RefSeq and is a predicted model, not a curated record. The transcript is spliced from 2 exons.
CGUACAUAUUUCAGACGUACCAAUCACACGUCAUUUUUUAUGUAAAUUUCUCACGUACGCCGCCGUCACGUCGCCGCCUACGAUUAGAUCUACAGUGACGUCGCCGCGGGUCUAUCGUCUGCCCUCCCUAUCAAUCCCAUUCAAAAUUUGACACGGUCUGACGGCGACGUAAGGGUAGACUGCGCCUUAUCCUUCGCCUGCUUAGCCUUAGAACUGGCACGGACCGCCCCUCAUAUUGACUAGAGUGGCUGCGUAUCAGCUCCGGUAGCCGCGUCGCAGCCGUAACGCGCCGCACAGGCGUGCAGUGUAAACGAGGCUUGAUUGAGACGGUACGAGCCACAUCGCCCGCGACGAGGAUCAUCGUGUCUGGACCGCUUCCGACGUACCGACGAGGACAUGAAAGGCUCUUCCGUGCUGAUGGCCUGCACCCCAGCAGGAUCUGAGCUGAUCUUCUGUCAGAGAACAUCUCAAAGACGCUUCGCACCGUAUGACUAGUGAGUCAAACCUCAAAUCACAGUCUGUGUUCUGCCCACUUAACUGAUAGAAAUGUGAGUGUAGUACAGUCUAUAGAAACUGUGUCUAUUCCCAGAAUAGUGAGGUUUAACAAUAAAAAUAAAGGAUCUAGAAAAAAUCUGAUCGUGAUCAAACCAGAAAUUCGCAAAAUUACUGAACAAAAACAAUUUCUAAAGCUAGGGCUACUAAACAUUAGAUCGCUGACACCUAAGGCGGUUAUAUAUAAAUGAAAUGAUCACAGAUAAUAGUCUUGAUGUAAUUUGCCUUACUGAAACAUGGCUUAAACCAAAUGAUUAUUUCGGUCUUAAUGAGUCUUGUCCACCUGGCUACUGUUAUAAAAACAAAUGCCGUCCGAUUGGCUGUGGUGGUGGUGUAGCAACAAUCUACAGAGAUAUUCUGAACGUUACUCAGAAAACAAACUAUAGGUUUAAUUCAUUUGAAAUUCUUAUGCUAAAUGUUACUCUCUCAGAUAUAAGUAAAAAGUCGCUACUAUCUCUUGCUUUGGCUACUGUUUAUAGACCUCCAGGGGUUUAUGCUGAUUUCCUAAAAGAGUUUUCAGACUUUCUCUCAGACCUAUUGGUCAACGUUGAUAAAGCACUGAUUGUUGGAGAUUUUAACAUUCAUGUAGACAAUACAAAUGAUGCGUUAGGGGCUGCGUUUACUGAUUUACUAAACUCAUUUGGGGCAAACAAAACGUCACUGGACCCACUCACUGUUUUAAUCAUACUCUAGAUUUAAUUAUAUCACAUGGAAUAAAUCCUACUGAUAUAGAAAUUCUACCGCAAAGUGAUGACGUCUCUGAUCACUACCUUGUAACAUGCGUACUGCAUACUGAU